This is a non-coding RNA of Macaca mulatta (Rhesus monkey), 1386 nucleotides long. The record is from RefSeq and is a predicted model, not a curated record. NCBI's taxonomy places the organism in Eukaryota, Metazoa, Chordata, Mammalia, Primates, Cercopithecidae.
UUAGGUUUGGGGACACAAGUGGACCCCAUGCUGCCUGAGAUGAACAGAGACAGCAGGAUGGCAGAGGAAUCACCAGCUCAAGAAACCCCAAGACUUGGACAGUCUUCCAGCAGAAGAGGCCAGGGUCUCUCAGUGUACUACCCCAAACAGGCCUCUCCCAGAGAGGUAGUCUGGGAAGGCCCAAAACCCACCAGACAUAGGCACAUCCAGUGGGGAAAGACUUCCCAUUCCAGUGUGGCCUGCAUCCCUCACCUCUGCUUCCAGUCUUCUGCUGGCCUCGGAGCAGCAGGGUAGCCAUUGCUGAUCUGGGUUAGGGAGAUGCCAGAAACACACCCAGGUUUGAACCACAAGUUAGUGGUACAAAGUCAUAGUCCUUGUGCCUUCAGAAAACCCAGAGGCCCCAAAUCCGAGUGGGAAGAGAGUUGGGAAAAACUGAACCAGAUUCUUCCAGUGGCCAUUAAAGAGAAAAUUCAGCAACCCUUGCCUUUGUCUUUGACCCUGAGAAGUUACAGGACACAGAUUGUGGCACUAUGAUGGGACAUGGAGGGAACGCAUGGUGUGCUUCCUGCAGAGAUGCCUCUGGAGUCCCUGUGGCCAAGGGACCUCACUGGCCCCCUCCUCAGGCACCUCGAUGGGGCUCAGUGGGGCCCGGCCAAAGGGUAGAAGUAGAAAAACAUCAACAGGCUGUCCAGAUCAACUGGCACCAUCCAGGGCCCUGCUGCACCCACACAUGGAGGUCACUAGCUCAGCCCCAGGGGUUUUUUCACACCCAAGCUCCGUCCCUAAGGAGUCCUGUGGGGUUCCACACUCAGUGUGCUACCCAAAUCAGAGAUUCACCACAGAUCUGUCUCCCCUUCAACCUGGACUCAAGUUACUGCGGUAAGAAACCUCACUGACCAUGGUUAACUGAAGAAAUCCCUCCUUCAGAAAGAACCUGAGUGGUAGAUGAGGUGGUUAGACAGGAUCUUUUUCCCCCAAGCUGUCUGGACAACGCCACAGCCAGGACCAACUCGGACAGCUGCGAGAGAGAGCCCCUCCAAUGUGGAACCUCCUACACAGCCCCCCUUUUGGGUCCCUGGAUCUGAGCCCCCAGCAGGACCACCACUCUGGGGGGAAGUCUCCCUCCUAUCCCUCAGAUCCCCACGUUGUUCCUCCUCUAGGAGAAACGUCAGCCCUGCCCCUGGAGCUUCUCUAAGAUGGCACUGAACUCGCCGUUAUCUUGAGGAGCCAAGAGCUGAAGUGACUCCGGCUUAGCAACCCAGUGUGGCCAAAGUGGAAAGGUUCUCUGUCCUUUGCAGUCACCAAAAAAGAAAAAAAAAAAGAAAAAGUAUGGUCUCACAGGCACAGCAUCUUCUUUUAAAAAAUAAAUAUUUAUAAACUUAAGGA